AAAGCAGAAAGAGGUUUUCUAAAUGUGUGCCUUUCCCCCCCCCCCCCCCCGAUUUCCAUAGGGUCUGGCAUCCAGUAUUUACAUGAAAACAGAAUCAUCCAUAGAGACCUUAAACCAGAAAAUAUUGUCCUCCAGGAUGAAGCCGGGAAGGUCAUCUACAAGAUCAUCGACCUGGGAUACGCCAAGGACCUGGACCAAGGGAGCCUGUGCACGUCCUUCGUGGGGACCCUGCAGUACUUGGCCCCCGAACUCUUUGAGAACAGCCCCUACAGCAAGACGGUGGACUUCUGGAGCCUGGGGACAGUCGUCUUCGAGUGCAUCACGGGGUUCAGGCCGUUCCUGCACAACCAGCAGCCCUUCGCCUGGUGGGUCUCCCUGCCUCCGGGGACGCUGGGGGCCUUUGGCUUUCGCCAAAGAGCCGCU
This 423-nucleotide long non-coding RNA is filed under the name Notechis scutatus (mainland tiger snake). Its description in RNAcentral is "lncRNA (ENSNSUG00000004061.1)". Lineage: Eukaryota; Metazoa; Chordata; Lepidosauria; Squamata; Elapidae. The record is from RNAcentral.